AAAAAAACCAACCCAGAUUUUCAUAGAUUGUUUGCUUAAAUUCAGGUGGAUCCACCAACAUGUUUCUGCCUGUGAGGAAUUUGCAGCUUGUUAAGGGUAAAAGUACAACGGGUGACACAAAACCCUUUGUGUUCCUGGACCUUCUUUGUCACUGCCAAAGCAGAAGCUGGUUCAGAAUGGCAGCAGACUCUAGGUCAAGAAUGGACUCCGCCGAGCCCCUGGCUGUGGCGGAGAGCUUACUGCCUCCCAGUGGAGCCCACGCUCUGGUCACUGGGGAGAACUCUGUACCGAGCCCAGCACAUGGCUAGUAGCUGCCACCAUCUGUGGAGGCCCCCGUAGGAUCACCAUCUGCUGCUGCAAGACGGCUCCCUCUGGAGUGGAGAAGAAGUUCCCAUGACUCAGGUCCCCCUGAAGCCUCUGUCCUGAGCACGGCUGGGCCCUUGGCUUCCUGUCCCCUCCUGGUUUCCUUGGGACGGUGGAGCUCCCAGUUCUCCAGGUAGAACAUACUUUUUCUUCCCUUGUUCUGGGUGACGGUCCCCUGGAACCUGCUAGAGCUGUCCCUCCCCUUGCUGUGCC
Molecule: long non-coding RNA, 576 nt
Filed under: Marmota monax (woodchuck)
Lineage: Eukaryota; Metazoa; Chordata; Mammalia; Rodentia; Sciuridae
Source: RNAcentral